RNAcentral lists this ribosomal RNA (492 nucleotides) under uncultured bacterium. RNAcentral's name for it is "partial 16S ribosomal RNA". It matches the Rfam family "Bacterial small subunit ribosomal RNA", at positions 29 to 507 of the family's 1533-position model. The record is from RNAcentral.
AGUGAACGCUGGCGGUAGGCCUAACACAUGCAAGUCGAACGGCAGCACAGUAGGAGCUUGCUCUUACGGGUGGCGAGUGGCGGACGGGUGAGGAAUACAUCGGAAUCUACUUUUUCGUGGGGGAUAACGUAGGGAAACUUACGCUAAUACUGCAUACGACCUACGGGUGAAAGCAGGGGAUCUUCGGACCUUGCGCGAUUGAAUGAGCCGAUGUCGGAUUAGCUAGUUGGCGGGGUAAAGGCCCACCAAGGCGACGAUCCGUAGCUGGUCUGAGAGGAUGAUCAGCCACACUGGAACUGAGACACGGUCCAGACUCCUACGGGAGGCAGCAGUGGGGAAUAUUGGACAAUGGGCGCAAGCCUGAUCCAGCCAUACCGCGUGGGUGAAGAAGGCCUUCGGGUUGUAAAGCCCUUUUGUUGGGAAAGAAAAGCAGCAGGUUAAUACCCCGCUGUUCUGACGGUACCCAAAGAAUAAGCACCGGCUAACUUCGUG